RNAcentral lists this ribosomal RNA (497 nucleotides) under uncultured bacterium. RNAcentral's name for it is "partial 16S ribosomal RNA". It matches the Rfam family "Bacterial small subunit ribosomal RNA", at positions 28 to 507 of the family's 1533-position model. The record is from RNAcentral.
GAUGAACGCUGGCGGCGUGCCUAAUACAUGCAAGUCGAGCGAACGGACGAGAAGCUUGCUUCUCUGAUGUUAGCGGCGGACGGGUGAGUAACACGUGGAUAACCUACCUAUAAGACUGGGAUAACUUCGGGAAACCGUAGCUAAUACCGGAUAAUAUUUUGAACCGCAUGGUUCAAAAGUGAAAGACGGUCUUGCUGUUACUUAUAGAUGGAUCCGCGCUGCAUUAGCUAGUUGGUAAGGUAACGGCUUACCAAGGCAACGAUGCAUAGCCGACCUGAGAGGGGGAUCGGCCACACUGGAACUGAAACACGGUCCAGACUCCUACGGGAGGCAGCAGUAGGGAAUCUUCCGCAAUGGUCGAAAGCCUGACGGAGCAACGCCGCGUGAGUGAUGAAGGUCUUCGGAUCGUAAAACUCUGUUAUUAGGGAAGAACAUCUGUGUAAGGAACUGUGCACAUCUUGACGGUACCUAAUCAGAAAGCCACGGCUAACUACGUG